Molecule: unclassified non-coding RNA, 337 nt
Filed under: soil metagenome
Description: partial contains 5.8S ribosomal RNA, internal transcribed spacer 2, and large subunit ribosomal RNA
Rfam family: 5.8S ribosomal RNA (bases 1-120)
Source: RNAcentral
GAUGAAGAACGUAGCGAAAUGCGAUAAGUAGUGUGAAUUGCAAAAUUCAGUGAAUCAUUGAAUCUUUGAACGCACAUUGCGCCCCUUGGUAUUCCAUGGGGCAUGCUUGUUCGAGCGUCAUUUGUACUCUCAAGCUCUGCUUGGUGUUGGGUGUUUGUCCUUUCCCUGCGUUAGGACUCGCCUCAAAUUCAUUGGCAGCCGAUAUAUUGGUUUGAAGCGCAGCACAAUUUGCGAUUCGGGCUGGUUAUUGUUGGCGUCCAGUAAGCACAUUUAACACUUUUGACCUCGGAUCAAGUAGGGAUACCCGCUGAACUUAAGCAUAUCAAUAAGCGGAGGA